Molecule: ribosomal RNA, 305 nt
Filed under: uncultured bacterium
Lineage: Bacteria
Description: partial 16S ribosomal RNA
Rfam family: Bacterial small subunit ribosomal RNA
Source: RNAcentral
ACAGCAGUCGCCGCGGGAAUACGAAGGGUGCAAGCGUUACUCGGAAUUACUGGGCGUAAAGCGUGCAUAGGUGGUGGUUUAAGUCCGUUGUGAAAGCCCUGGGCUCAACCUGGGAAUUGCAGUGGAUACUGGGUCACUAGAGUGUGGUAGAGGAUAGUGGAAUUUCCGGUGUAGCAGUGAAAUGCGUAGAGAUCGGAAGGAACAUCUGUGGCGAAGGCGACUAUCUGGGCCAACACUGACACUGAGGCACGAAAGCGUGGGGAGCAAACAGGAUUAGAUACCCGUGUAGUCCCUGUCUCUUAUAC